This 400-nucleotide ribosomal RNA is filed under the name phytoplankton environmental sample. RNAcentral's name for it is "partial small subunit ribosomal RNA". It matches the Rfam family "Eukaryotic small subunit ribosomal RNA", at positions 587 to 981 of the family's 1831-position model. The record is from RNAcentral.
AGCUCCAUUAGUGUAUAUUAAUGUUGCUGCAGUUAAAAAGCUCGUAGUCGAAUUUCUGAUUUGUCAAACUCGAACUGCUUUUUAUAUAAGAGUACGUCUCGAAUCGUUUGCGGAUCAUCAUGUUGAAGAGCAUUUCUGCCCUUGAUUGGGUUGGUUUUGCAAUUCAACUCUUUUACUGUGAGCAAAUGGGUGUGUUCAAAGCAGGUUUAUCUGCCUGAACCGUUUAGCAUGGAAUAAUGAUAUAGAACUUCGGUUCUACUUCGUUGGCUUAAGGACCAAAGUAAUGAUCUAAAGGGAUAGUUGGGGGUGCUCAUAUUCAGGGGGUAGCGGUGAAAUGCGAUGAUCCUCUGAAGAUGGACUAAUGCGAAAGCAUUCACCAAGGAUAUUUUCUUUGAUCAAG